UCAGGACGAACGCUGGCGGCGUGCCUAAUACAUGCAAGUCGAACGAACUCUGGUAUUGAUUGGUGCUUGCAUCAUGAUUUACAUUUGAGUGAGUGGCGAACUGGUGAGUAACACGUGGGAAACCUGCCCAGAAGCGGGGGAUAACACCUGGAAACAGAUGCUAAUACCGCAUAACAACUUGGACCGCAUGGUCCGAGUUUGAAAGAUGGCUUCGGCUAUCACUUUUGGAUGGUCCCGCGGCGUAUUAGCUAGAUGGUGAGGUAACGGCUCACCAUGGCAAUGAUACGUAGCCGACCUGAGAGGGUAAUCGGCCACAUUGGGACUGAGACACGGCCCAAACUCCUACGGGAGGCAGCAGUAGGGAAUCUUCCACAAUGGACGAAAGUCUGAUGGAGCAACGCCGCGUGAGUGAAGAAGGGUUUCGGCUCGUAAAACUCUGUUGUUAAAGAAGAACAUAUCUGAGAGUAACUGUUCAGGUAUUGACGGUAUUUAACCAGAAAGCCACGGCUAACUACGUGCCAGCAGCCGCGGUAAUACGUAGGUGGCAAGCGUUGUCCGGAUUUAUUGGGCGUAAAGCGAGCGCAGGCGGUUUUUUAAGUCUGAUGUGAAAGCCUUCGGCUCAACCGAAGAAGUGCAUCGGAAACUGGGAAACUUGAGUGCAGAAGAGGACAGUGGAACUCCAUGUGUAGCGGUGAAAUGCGUAGAUAUAUGGAAGAACACCAGUGGCGAAGGCGGCUGUCUGGUCUGUAACUGACGCUGAGGCUCGAAAGUAUGGGUAGCAAACAGGAUUAGAUACCCUGGUAGUCCAUACCGUAAACGAUGAAUGCUAAGUGUUGGAGGGUUUCCGCCCUUCAGUGCUGCAGCUAACGCA
Molecule: ribosomal RNA, 871 nt
Filed under: Lactiplantibacillus plantarum
Lineage: Bacteria; Bacillati; Bacillota; Bacilli; Lactobacillales; Lactobacillaceae
Description: bacterial SSU rRNA
Rfam family: Bacterial small subunit ribosomal RNA
Source: RNAcentral